GUCCCUCUGGGAAUAUCCGAUAAAAUUGAAACAAUACAUAGAAAAUCAGCAUGGCCCUCAUCAUAAAGAUGACACGCACAAAUUGAGAAAUGGUCUAAAUUUUU
This is a small nuclear RNA of Solanum pennellii, 104 nucleotides long. The record is from RefSeq and is a predicted model, not a curated record. NCBI's taxonomy places the organism in Eukaryota, Viridiplantae, Streptophyta, Magnoliopsida, Solanales, Solanaceae.